This 462-nucleotide ribosomal RNA is filed under the name uncultured bacterium. RNAcentral's name for it is "partial 16S ribosomal RNA". It matches the Rfam family "Bacterial small subunit ribosomal RNA", at positions 29 to 523 of the family's 1533-position model. The record is from RNAcentral.
AAUGAACGUUGGCGGCUUGGAUUAGGCAUGCAAGUCGGGGGAAUCCCAGCAAUGGGGGAACCGGCGUAAGGGGCAGUAAGGCAUGGGUACCUACCUUGGGGUUCGGGAUAGCCAUCAGAGAUGGUGGGUAAUACCGGAUGACGUCGUGAGACCAAAGAUUUAUCGCCCUUAGAGGGGCCCAUGUGAUAUUAGCUAGUUGGUGGGGUAACGGCCCACCAAGGCGAAGAUGUCUAGCGGGUGUGAGAGCACGACCCGCGCCACGCGCACUGAGACACUGGCGAGACACCUACGGGUGGCUGCAGUCGAGGAUCUUCGGCAAUGAGCGCAGGCUUGACCGAGCGACGCCGCGUGAGCGAUGAAGGCCUUCGGGUUGUAAAGCUCUUUAGUGGGGGAGAAAAGCCGCAAGGUGUGAUCUAUCCCAAAAAUAAGCACGGGCUAAGUUCGUGCCAGCCGCCGCCGUAA